This 468-nucleotide ribosomal RNA is filed under the name uncultured bacterium. Its description in RNAcentral is "partial 16S ribosomal RNA". It matches the Rfam family "Bacterial small subunit ribosomal RNA", at positions 28 to 507 of the family's 1533-position model. The record is from RNAcentral.
GACGAACGCUGGCGGCGUGCUUAACACAUGCAAGUCGAACGGAAGGACCCUGCGUUUGUGGGGUGCUCGAUUGGCGAACGGGGGAGAAAAACAUGAGUAACAUCCCCUUGACUGAGGGGGAACAUCUGGAAAAUGCGGCUCUUACCGCAUAGAAGCUCCUGCUGCAUAGUGGGGGAUGGAAAAUUUCGGCGGUUGGGGAUGGACUCGCGGGUUAUGCGCUUGUUGGGGUGGUAGUGGCGUACCAAGCCUGUGAAGGGUAGGCGGCCUGAGAGGUUGACCGGCGACAUGGGGCCUGAGAGACGGCGCAGACGCCUACGGGCGGCAGCAGGGGGGAAUAUUGCACAAUGGGCGGAAGCCUGAGGCAGCAACGUCGCGUGCGGGAUGACCGCCUACGGGUUGUAAACCGCUUUCGCCGGUGAUGAAGCGUGAGUGACGGUAAUGGGUAAAGAAGCACCGGCUAACUACGUG